GAUGAACGCUGGCGGCGUGCCUAAUACAUGCAAGUCGAGCGAACAGACGAGGAGCUUGCUCCUCUGACGUUAGCGGCGGACGGGUGAGUAACACGUGGAUAACCUACCUAUCAGACUGGGAUCACUUCGGGAAACCGGAGCUAAUACCGGAUAAUCUAUUGAACCGCAUGGUUCAAUAGUGAAAGACGGUUUUGCUGUCACUUAUAGAUGGAUCCGCGCCGCAUUAGCUAGUUGGUAAGGUAACGGCUUACCAAGGCAACGAUGCGUAGCCGACCUGAGAGGGGGAUCGGCCACACUGGAACUGAGACACGGUCCAGACGCCUACGGGAGGCAGCAGUAGGGAAUCGUCCGCAAUGGGCGAAAGCCUGACGGAGCAACGCCGCGUGAGUGAUGAAGGUCUUCGGAUCGUAAAACUCUGUUAUGAGGGAAGAACAAAUGUGUAAGUAACUAUGCACGGAUUGACGGUACCUAAUCAGAAAGCCACGGCUAACUACGUG
This 497-nucleotide ribosomal RNA is filed under the name uncultured bacterium. RNAcentral's name for it is "partial 16S ribosomal RNA". It matches the Rfam family "Bacterial small subunit ribosomal RNA", at positions 28 to 507 of the family's 1533-position model. The record is from RNAcentral.